Molecule: ribosomal RNA, 477 nt
Filed under: Staphylococcus aureus
Lineage: Bacteria; Bacillati; Bacillota; Bacilli; Caryophanales; Staphylococcaceae
Description: bacterial SSU rRNA
Rfam family: Bacterial small subunit ribosomal RNA
Source: RNAcentral
ACAUGCAAGUCGAGCGAACGGACGAGAAGCUUGCUUCUCUGAUGUUAGCGGCGGACGGGUGAGUAACACGUGGAUAACCUACCUAUAAGACUGGGAUAACUUCGGGAAACCGGAGCUAAUACCGGAUAAUAUUUUGAACCGCAUGGUUCAAAAGUGAAAGACGGUCUUGCUGUCACUUAUAGAUGGAUCCGCGCUGCAUUAGCUAGUUGGUAAGGUAACGGCUUACCAAGGCAACGAUGCAUAGCCGACCUGAGAGGGUGAUCGGCCACACUGGAACUGAGACACGGUCCAGACUCCUACGGGAGGCAGCAGUAGGGAAUCUUCCGCAAUGGGCGAAAGCCUGACGGAGCAACGCCGCGUGAGUGAUGAAGGUCUUCGGAUCGUAAAACUCUGUUAUUAGGGAAGAACAUAUGUGUAAGUAACUGUGCACAUCUUGACGGUACCUAAUCAGAAAGCCACGGCUAACUACGUGCCAGC